UGGGGUGUAACUCAGUGGUAGAGCACUUGCCUAGAAUGCACAAGGCCCUGGGUUCAUCCCCAGCACCACAA
This 71-nucleotide transfer RNA is filed under the name Marmota marmota marmota (Alpine marmot). It matches the Rfam family "tRNA". Rfam says of the family: Transfer RNA (tRNA) molecules are approximately 80 nucleotides in length. Their secondary structure includes four short double-helical elements and three loops (D, anti-codon, and T loops). Further hydrogen bonds mediate the characteristic L-shaped molecular structure. tRNAs have two regions of fundamental functional importance: the anti-codon, which is responsible for specific mRNA codon recognition, and the 3' end, to which the tRNAs corresponding amino acid is attached (by aminoacyl-tRNA synthetases). tRNAs cope with the degeneracy of the genetic code in two manners: having more than one tRNA (with a specific anti-codon) for a particular amino acid; and 'wobble' base-pairing, i.e. permitting non-standard base-pairing at the 3rd anti-codon position. Lineage: Eukaryota; Metazoa; Chordata; Mammalia; Rodentia; Sciuridae. RNAcentral also lists the same sequence under 1 other name. The record is from Rfam by way of RNAcentral.